CUGGAUUGGACUCCAGAUGAGUUAGAGGAACUGUUACCAGCGAAUAUAGAAAUUUUUGAGAGUCUGACCAUGACAGAGAAGCUAUAGUUGGAUAAGUCCUAAAACAAGCCUCUACAUUAAACCACACAGAUAAAUAAAGGUCUCAGAAAACCAGAUUAACUUUGUAUUCUACUUUGAAACAAAAGUUUUACUGCAAUAAAUAACACAAAUUCAAAUGCCAACUUAGACCGAGAUCUUGGCCACUCUGGAGAGUACCAUGAAGGAAUCAAUUGAGCUCUCAUUCAAGAUAGAUAAGGACUCAAUUCCAGACGUUACAGAAGAACUUACCAGGGUUCAACAACUCCAUGAAGAGUUUCUGAAAAGCAGCUGAAAAAGCUUUCUUUGAUCCCAGAACGGUCAUCAUGACAUGUUGGAUCUAGGGUUGUUCAAGAUGAGGGUGCCUUCACUGAGAAUGAAUUGUUUGCCACAAUUGUUUUUGUCAUUAUUGGUUUAAAGUGUUUUACAAUCAAUUUAAGUCUGAAAAAAUGUUUAGGAAAGAGAAAAAAAUAUUUUUUUCCUGAUGAAUAUAAAGAAGUAGUAGCCUUUUUCACAUUAGAUUCUGAUAGAAAAAUGUAAUACUGAUGAAGUGAGGGGAAAAAACGUAUGUACUAUUAUUCAAUCCAAUCAGCAAUAUUUUUGGUGUAAUUUUUAUUGUUCGUAAUUUAGGA
Long non-coding RNA from Cyprinodon variegatus (sheepshead minnow), 707 nucleotides. RefSeq lists it as uncharacterized. The record is from RefSeq and is a predicted model, not a curated record. NCBI's taxonomy places the organism in Eukaryota, Metazoa, Chordata, Actinopteri, Cyprinodontiformes, Cyprinodontidae. The transcript has 3 exons.